Molecule: RNA transcript, 1652 nt
Organism: Felis catus (domestic cat)
Lineage: Eukaryota; Metazoa; Chordata; Mammalia; Carnivora; Felidae
Gene: MPV17
Gene name: mitochondrial inner membrane protein MPV17
Exons: 7
Source: RefSeq, a predicted model, not a curated record
CCGGACGGAAGGGCGGGGCUUGCGGCGGAAGUCCCGCCUCCUGUCGGGUCACGUGAGGGGCUGGACGCGAGAGCAGGAAUCAUGGCACUCUGGCGGGCAUACCAGCGAGCCCUGACUGUUCACCCGUGGAAAGUACAGGUCCUGACAGCUGGGUCCCUGAUGGGCCUGGGUGACAUUAUCUCACAGCAGCUGGUGGAGAGGCGAGGUCUGCGGGAACACCAGACUGGCCGGACCCUGACCAUGGUCUCUGUGGGCUGUGGCUUUGUGGGCCCCGUAGUGGGAGGCUGGUACAGGGUUUUGGACCGGCUCGUCCCUGGCACCACCAAGGUAGAUGCGCUGAAGAAGAUGCUGUUGGAUCAGGGGGGCUUUGCCCCUUGUUUUCUAGGCUGUUUCCUCCCACUGGUAGGAGCACUCAACGGACUGUCAGCCCAGGACAACUGGGCCAAGCUACGGCAGGACUAUCCUGAUGCCCUCAUCACCAACUACUAUGUAAGCGAUGACACCGCCCCUGCCCGUCCUGCUUUCUUGAGUCCAGACGUGCCCGGGAUGGGGGUCCUCCUGACAUAGAAGCCCCUCCGUUGGGAUGAGUGGGCACCACACUCAGGGAAGCACUCACUCGGCUGCUCACCUUGUUCUUGUCUGCAGAAGUCGGAGUGAGACCAGGCAGUAAGACAGGAUCUGCCCCCACCCAUCGAAGAAGAUGCAUAAGGCGAUUCUCCUUUCAACCUCGAAUCACGUUAGAGCCUCCCAGAACACUUCCCCAGCCGCAGCGCCUCACACUCUCAAGCAUUUUAUUCAGAACCUCUUAUCCAUUACAGAGCCUGUCCCAGCACCUGCCCACUGACCAUCUUUCAUCUUCCUGGAGAGGCUCCUGCUCCACAGCCCUGUCUCCGUCCCACCUGAGCUCCCACCUUUGAUGGCAUAUCUGCAGGGACAGUGCCUGGGGUGGGGGUGGGAGGCAACAGCCUAGGUUAGGCAGAAGGGUAGACGGAAGAGCCAAGUGGGAACCUGGCCAGGUUAGUCCACUGCAGAGUAUUACUUUACCCGAGUAAUAAAGGUAGUUGCUGAAACCACAGUAAAAAUAUAGUGGAACUCAAGGUGAGUAGUUGAAACUAUUGGGGAUGAAGGGAUUUGGAGAACAGGGAAAAAUAUGAACUCUUCAGAGGGGACAGAGUCGACAUUGACAUGAAUAGCAUAGCUUAAAGGAAGAAUUGGGGAGCAGAUUCUCAACAUUAGGGUCUUUGCAACACUCUUUGAAACUAGAGGAAGGUAAAUUUACAAUAAGGAGAAGGAGGUGCCACUUUACAUGGCAGGCAGCGCAGUUUUGGAAGAUAAAAUCCCAGCUGGUAUAAGACAGACAGACACGUGUAGUCAGAAGGAGCCUGGACAGGAGUGAAUCAGAGCCACACUUGGCAAGAUGAGGGUGUUCAACUUUGAGGCUCUUGUCCAGCAGACAGAGCUCUGGGGCAGUGCCAGACCCCAACCUGCUUGUCCUCCGGUCUGAGCCACACGUCCCUCCAGGGCUGAAGGAAGGAGACCUGAAUGUGGACGUUCUCAGAGACAAGCCCUCCUUUUCUGUUGCACUUUCCUAGCUCUCCCCGCCCCCUUGCUUGCUCCCCAUUCUUCACCAUCUUCACGCCGCCCCUCCUGUC